GACGGUGACCCAGGGCUUGCCCUGGUGAUCAGUGGCGAACGGGUGAGUAACACGUGGGCAACCUGCCCCUGACUUCGGGAUAACUCCUCGAAAGAGGAGCUAAUACCGGAUACGACCACUUCGGACAUCCGAUGGUGGUGGAAAGUUCUUCGGUCAGGGAUGGGCCCGCGGCCUAUCAGCUAGUUGGUGGGGUAAUGGGCCUACCAAGGCGACGACGGGUAGCCGGCCUGAGAGGGCGACCGGCCACACUGGGACUGAGACACGGCCCAGACUCCUACGGGAGGCAGCAGUGGGGAAUAUUGCGCAAUGGGCGAAAGCCUGACGCAGCGACGCCGCGUGAGGGAUGAAGGCCUUCGGGUUGUAAACCUCUUUCAGCAGGGACGAAGCGAAAGUGACGGUACCUGCAGAAGAAGCACCGGCUAACUACGUG
Molecule: ribosomal RNA, 430 nt
Filed under: uncultured bacterium
Lineage: Bacteria
Description: bacterial SSU rRNA
Rfam family: Bacterial small subunit ribosomal RNA
Source: RNAcentral